RNAcentral lists this transfer RNA (76 nucleotides) under Clostridiaceae bacterium. RNAcentral describes it as "tRNA-Pro". It matches the Rfam family "tRNA". From Rfam's summary of the family: Transfer RNA (tRNA) molecules are approximately 80 nucleotides in length. Their secondary structure includes four short double-helical elements and three loops (D, anti-codon, and T loops). Lineage: Bacteria; Bacillati; Bacillota; Clostridia; Eubacteriales; Clostridiaceae. The record is from RNAcentral.
CGGGGUGUGGCUCAGAUGGUAGAGCGCUUGGUUCGGGACCAAGAGGCCGCUGGUUCGAAUCCAGUCACUCCGACCA